Molecule: ribosomal RNA, 413 nt
Filed under: uncultured Anaerolineae bacterium
Lineage: Bacteria; Bacillati; Chloroflexota; Anaerolineae
Description: bacterial SSU rRNA
Rfam family: Bacterial small subunit ribosomal RNA
Source: RNAcentral
GAGUUUGAUCUUGGCUCAGGAUGAACGUUGGCGGCGUGCCUAACACAUGCAAGUCGAACGGAAGUAGCAAUACUUCAGUGGCGCACGGGUGAGUAACACGUAGCUUACCCUCCUCCGAGAGUGGGAUAACGGCUCGAAAGAGCUGCUAAUACCGCAUAAGCUCACGGGUUAUAGAGACCUGAGAGAAAAGGGGCAACUCGCUUGGAGACGGGGCUGCGGCCCAUCAGCUAGAUGGUGAGGUAACGGCUUACCAUGGCGACGACGGGUAGGGGACCUGAGAGGGUGACCCCCCACACUGGGACUGAGACACGGCCCAGACUCCUACGGGAGGCAGCAGUGGGGAAUAUUGGACAAUGGGCGCAAGCCUGAUCCAGCCAUGCCGCGUGUGUGAAGAAGGCCUUCGGGUUGUAAAG